GACGAACGCUGGCGGCGUGCUUAACACAUGCAAGUCGAACGGAAAGGCCCUGCUUUUGUGGGGUGCUCGAGUGGCGAACGGGUGAGUAACACGUGAGUAACCUGCCCUUGACUUUGGGAUAACUUCAGGAAACUGGGGCUAAUACCGGAUAGGAGCUCCUGCUGCAUGGUGGGGGUUGGAAAGUUUCGGCGGUUGGGGAUGGACUCGCGGCUUAUCAGCUUGUUGGUGGGGUAGUGGCUUACCAAGGCUUUGACGGGUAGCCGGCCUGAGAGGAUGACCGGCCACAUUGGGACUGAGAUACGGCCCAGACUCCUACGGGAGGCAGCAGUGGGGAAUAUUGCACAAUGGGCGGAAGCCUGAUGCAGCAACGCCGCGUGCGGGAUGACGGCCUUCGGGUUGUAAACCGCUUUCGCCUGUGACGAAGCGUGAGUGACGGUAAUGGGUAAAGAAGCACCGGCUAACUACGUGCCAGCAGCCGCGGUGAUACGUAGGGUGCGAGCGUUGUCCGGAUUUAUUGGGCGUAAAGGGCUCGUAGGUGGUCGAUCGCGUCGGAAGUGUAAUCUUGGGGCUUAACCCUGAGCGUGCUUUCGAUACGGGUUGACUUGAGGAAGGUAGGGGAGAAUGGAAUUCCUGGUGGAGCGGUGGAAUGCGCAGAUAUCAGGAGGAACACCAGUGGCGAAGGCGGUUCUCUGGGCCUUUCCUGACGCUGAGGAGCGAAAGCGUGGGGAGCGAACAGGCUUAGAUACCCUGGUAGUCCACGCUGUAAACGGUGGGUACUAGGUGUGGGGUCCAUUCCACGGGUUCCGUGCCGUAGCUAACGCUUUAAGUACCCCGCCUGGGGAGUACGGCCGCAAGGCUAAAACUCAAAGGAAUUGACGGGGCCCCGCACAAGCGGCGGAGCAUGCGGAUUAAUUCGAUGCAACGCGUAGAACCUUACCUGGGUUUGACAUGGAUCGGGAGUGCUCAGAGAUGGGUGUGCCUCUUUUGGGGUCGGUUCACAGGUGGUGCAUGGCUGUCGUCAGCUCGUGUCGUGAGAUGUUGGGUUAAGUCCCGCAACGAGCGCAACCCUUGUUCACUGUUGCCAGCACGUUAUGGUGGGGACUCAGUGGAGACCGCCGGGGUCAACUCGGAGGAAGGUGGGGAUGACGUCAAGUCAUCAUGCCCCUUAUGUCCAGGGCUUCACGCAUGCUACAAUGGCUGGUACAGAGAGUGGCGAGCCUGUGAGGGUGAGCGAAUCUCGGAAAGCCGGUCUCAGUUCGGAUUGGGGUCUGCAACUCGACCUCAUGAAGUCGGAGUCGCUAGUAAUCGCAGAUCAGCAACGCUGCGGUGAAUACGUUCCCGGGGCUUGUACACACCGCCCGUCAAGUCAUGAAAGUUGGUAACACCCGAAGCCGGUGGCCUAACCGUUGUGGGGGAGCCGUCGAAGGUGGGACUGGUGAUUAGG
Molecule: ribosomal RNA, 1444 nt
Filed under: uncultured bacterium
Lineage: Bacteria
Description: 16S ribosomal RNA
Rfam family: Bacterial small subunit ribosomal RNA
Source: RNAcentral